AUGGCGACGAGCGCCGCGUCGGGGGUGAUGAACCCCCUCAUCGGCAAGUUCACCAAGCUGAUGGGAGACGAGUACAAGAAGCUCAAAGGGGUGAGGAAGGGGGUGGCUUUUCUCAGGGACGAGCUCAGCGCCAUGAACGCUGCCCUUGAGAAGCUGGAGUUCAUGGAAAAGCUCGAGCCAGGUACAAAGGACUGGAGGGACCAUGUGAGGGAGAUGUCAUACGACAUGGAGAAUUGCAUCGAUGACUUCAUGAAGGAUAUUGGAGGUGCCGACGCCAGCGCCAGUGCAGACUUCGUGAAGAGGAUGUCUCGGCGCCUCAAGACGCUGAAGGUGCGCCACCGGAUUGCCGGCGAGAUUCAGGAGCUUAAGGCUCGUGCAGUAGAGGCAAAUGAACGGCGAUUAAGGUACAAGAUUGACGAUUGCAAUACUAGUUGUGGCUCUGUGGAUAUUGAUCCGAGGAUUUCAGUGAUGUACAAGGACGCUGCUGGACUUGUGGAUACUGAUGGCCCAAAGAAGGAGGUUGCCAGUCUGUUAGCAGUCACCGAGAAGAAGCUGAAGGUGGUGUCCAUCGUGGGAUUCGGAGGACUGGGUAAAACUACCCUUGCUAAUCAGGUGUAUGAUGAUCUCGAAGGGCAAUUUGACUGCAAGGCAUUUAUUCCUGUCUCUCAAAAACCAGACAUGCCACGGCUUCUCAAUAGCCUAAGAUUAAAGCUUGGGAUAAAUGAGUCCUCUGGUAUUUGUGAGGUGCAAGACAUCAUCGGUCAACUUAGAAAACACCUUGCAAACAAGAGGUACUUUAUUAUAGUCGAUGACUUGUGGGAUGAAGAAGCAUGGGACAUUAUAAGAUGUGCCUUUCCAGAAGAUGGUAACGGGAGUAGAGUAAUAGUAACCACACGAGUGGAAGCCGUUGCAAUCUCAGCAUGUUCUUAUCACUAUGAACACAUCUACAAAAUGAAGCCCCUCAGCUCUGAAAAUUCGAGAAGGUUAUUCACGAGCAGAGUAUUUGGGUCUGAAAACAAGUGUCCAUCUAAUUUUGAGGAAGUUUCAAAUGAAAUUCUGAAGAAGUGUGGCGGAUUGCCACUUGCAAUCAUUACUAUAGCUAGCCUAUUGGCUUCCCGUCGAGAAAGAUCAAGGAAUGAUUGGGAGAACAUACGGAAUUCUUUGGGUGCCCAGUUUUCCAUAAACCCCACACUGAAAGGGAUGAGGAGUAUAUUAAACCUCAGCUAUAUGAAUCUUCCUCUUCAUCUCCGCACUUGUUUUCUUUACCCUGGCAUGUAUCCAGAGGACUAUGAGAUUUUGAGGGAUGAACUAGUCCGACAAUGGAUGCCGAAGGCUUUGUCAGUAAUUUGCAUGGAACAAAUUUGGAGGACGUUGGGAUAA
Molecule: ribosomal RNA, 1380 nt
Filed under: Triticum aestivum (bread wheat)
Lineage: Eukaryota; Viridiplantae; Streptophyta; Magnoliopsida; Poales; Poaceae
Description: partial small subunit ribosomal RNA
Source: RNAcentral